RNAcentral lists this ribosomal RNA (253 nucleotides) under uncultured bacterium. RNAcentral describes it as "partial 16S ribosomal RNA". It matches the Rfam family "Bacterial small subunit ribosomal RNA", at positions 524 to 776 of the family's 1533-position model. The record is from RNAcentral.
GACGUAGGGCGCGAGCGUUGUCCGGAUUUAUUGGGCGUAAAGAGCUCGUAGGCGGCUUGUCGCGUCGUCCGUGAAAACCUGCGGCUCAACUGCAGGCUGGCGGUCGAUACGGGCAGGCUGGAGUUCGGUAGGGGAGACUGGAAUUCCUGGUGUAGCGGUGAAAUGCGCAGAUAUCAGGAAGAACACCAAUGGCGAAAGCAGCUCUCUGGGACGGUACUGACGCUGAGACGCGAAAGCGUGGGGAGCGAACAGG